Molecule: ribosomal RNA, 135 nt
Filed under: Chinchilla lanigera (long-tailed chinchilla)
Lineage: Eukaryota; Metazoa; Chordata; Mammalia; Rodentia; Chinchillidae
Source: RNAcentral
CAUUGUGGCCGCACCACCCUAAACACGCCUGAUCUCGUCUGAUCUCAGAAGCUAAGAAGAGUUGGGCCUGGUUAGAACUUGCAUGAGAGACAAAAGAGGGGGACAGCCUUCACCUAGACCCAGGGUAUCCUGUGC